This 209-nucleotide ribosomal RNA is filed under the name uncultured bacterium. RNAcentral's name for it is "partial 16S ribosomal RNA". It matches the Rfam family "Bacterial small subunit ribosomal RNA", at positions 524 to 731 of the family's 1533-position model. The record is from RNAcentral.
UACGAAGGGGGCUAGCGUUGCUCGGAAUCACUGGGCGUAAAGCGCACGUAGGUGGGUCGUUAAGUCGGGGGUGAAACCUGGAGCUCAACUCCAGAACUGCCUUCGAUACUGGCGAUCUUCGAGUCCGGGAGAGGUGAGUGGAACUGCGAGUGUAGAGGUGAAAUUCGUAGAUAUUAGGGAAGAACACCAGUGGCGAAGGCGGCUUACUG